GUAAAUGAAAAGCUCCGACUAACUUCGUGCCAGCAGUCGCGGUAAAAACGGGGGGAGCUAGCGUUACUCGGAAUAAUUGGGCGUAAAGGGUGUGCAGGUUGUAUUUAUUUACAUGCAUUUAAAGAUAAUAGAUGUAAUCUUUUAUAAAAUGUAUCUGAUUAUAAUACUUGAGUUUAAAAGAGGAUAGUCGUAAUUUUAGUGUAAAGGUAAAAUUUGUUUUAUAUUAAAAGGACGGUCUUUCGGUGUAGACAACUAUCUAUGGUAAAACUGACGCUCAAACACAAAAGUAUGGGGAGCAAAUAGGAUUAGAGACCCUAGUAGUCCAUACCCUGACCUAUGAGUAUUAAAUAUAAGAUCUUUUUUUUGUAUUUAAGUUAACGUCGCAAAUACUCCGCCUGGGCAGUACGAUCGCAAGGUUGAAACUCAAAGGAAUUGACGGAGAUCAGCACAUGCGGUGGAACAUGUGAUUUAAUGCGUAAAUACGCGCAAACCUUACCUAGUCUUGUUUCUAUGGAUAAUUUUAUUUAUUAAUAGCGAUCAGGUGUUGCAU
This 550-nucleotide ribosomal RNA is filed under the name uncultured bacterium. Its description in RNAcentral is "bacterial SSU rRNA". It matches the Rfam family "Bacterial small subunit ribosomal RNA", at positions 479 to 1046 of the family's 1533-position model. The record is from RNAcentral.